Molecule: ribosomal RNA, 437 nt
Filed under: uncultured bacterium
Lineage: Bacteria
Description: partial 16S ribosomal RNA
Rfam family: Bacterial small subunit ribosomal RNA
Source: RNAcentral
GAUGAACGCUGGCGGCAUGCUUAACACAUGCCAGUCGAACGGGAAGUGGUGUUUCCCGUGGCGAACGGGUGAGUAACGCGUAAGAACCUGCCCUUGGGAGGGGAACAACAACUGGAAACGGUUGCUAAUACCCCGUAGGCUGAGGAGCAAAAGGAGAAAUCCGCCCAAGGAGGGGCUCGCGUCUGAUUAGCUAGUUGGUGAGGUAAUAGCUUACCAAGGCGAUGAUCAGUAGCUGGUCCGAGAGGAUGAUCAGCCACACUGGGACUGAGACACGGCCCAGACUCCUACGGGAGGCAGCAGUGGGGAAUUUUCCGCAAUGGGCGAAAGCCUGACGGAGCAAUGCCGCGUGGAGGUGGAAGGCCUACGGGUCGUCAACUUCUUUUCUCGGAGAAGAAACAAUGACGGUAUCUGAGGAAUAAGCAUCGGCUAACUCUGUG